This 73-nucleotide transfer RNA is filed under the name Stegodyphus mimosarum. It matches the Rfam family "tRNA". From Rfam's summary of the family: Transfer RNA (tRNA) molecules are approximately 80 nucleotides in length. Their secondary structure includes four short double-helical elements and three loops (D, anti-codon, and T loops). The record is from Rfam by way of RNAcentral. Lineage: Eukaryota; Metazoa; Arthropoda; Arachnida; Araneae; Eresidae.
GCCUUCAUGGUGUAGUGGUCAGCACGCUCGACGUGUAUUCGAGAGGUCCGUGGUUCGAGUCCCGGCAAGGGCA